UCCGGUUUGUCACCGGCAGUCACCUUAGAGUGCCCAACUGAAUGCUGGCAACUAAGAUCAAGGGUUGCGCUCGUUGCGGGACUUAACCCAACAUCUCACGACACGAGCUGACGACAACCAUGCACCACCUGUCACUCUGUCCCCGAAGGGAAAGCCCUAUCUCUAGGGUUGUCAGAGGAUGUCAAGACCUGGUAAGGUUCUUCGCUUUGCAUCGAAUUAAGCCACGCGCUCCGCCGCUUGUGCGGGCCCCCGUCAAUUCCUUUGAGUUUUAGCCUUGCGGCCGUACUCCCCAGGCGGCGGACUUAAUGCGUUAGCUUCGGCACGGAGCGCGAUGAAGCGCCCCACACCUAGUCCGCACCGUUUACGGCCAGGACUAC
Molecule: unclassified non-coding RNA, 377 nt
Filed under: uncultured Bacillaceae bacterium
Lineage: Bacteria; Bacillati; Bacillota; Bacilli; Caryophanales; Bacillaceae
Description: contains 16S-23S intergenic spacer region
Source: RNAcentral